ACAUAGUGUGCACCACGUUUAUGGCAGGAUUAUCGCACCGAAUUAUUCACAAUCAUAUCAUUUACUGCUUUAUGUUUUCCUUAGAAAACCAUUGAAAGCUGGCAUUUUCUUAAUUUGAAUAAGCCUACUGAAAACGGGAAUUUCUGCAGCCCAGAAGCGAAAAUAUCCGGCACCGCCCUUCUUUUUCAGUCCUUCACUUGUUUUCAUUAUAUGACACUGAACUGAUUCCAGCGCAGUGAGAAAAAGCCUGUACUCAGGUCUGUACAUCUGUACACAAGGCUCCAUUAUUUCACUUAUCUCCAAGUACUUCAGGUUUUCUGUUAAGAAGCUCCAGUUCUGAAUCAUGCCGUGCACACAAAGGUUGGUGGCCAACACACAGGGAAUUUCUGGUAAAAAAAAUAAGGUGCCAAAUAAUCCACAGCAAA
Long non-coding RNA from Puntigrus tetrazona (Sumatra barb), 425 nucleotides. RefSeq lists it as uncharacterized. The record is from RefSeq and is a predicted model, not a curated record. The transcript has 3 exons. NCBI's taxonomy places the organism in Eukaryota, Metazoa, Chordata, Actinopteri, Cypriniformes, Cyprinidae.